UAUGGUAUUGUGAUCCCCCCCGUUGCUGCAUUUAUUUUUGACAUCUUAAUAUACUUUGAUCAACUAUUUAAUAUGUUGUUUUUAUUAUUAUUAUUUUUCUAAACUUAAAUUUCUUAUUAAUACUUUCAUAUCCUUUCUAGGAUUUAGAAGUUGAUGGGGUAAAAAAUUCUGCACAGUGAGAAGAUGGAAGCAUACUAUGAUGAGUGCAAGAAAGACCGCUUGUUGAUUAAGGAAAGAAAGUUUUUUCUUUCUUUAAAGUAAUGAUUGUAGAAACUUUCCUAGAAGUUCUGGUAAAGUGUGAUUCUUUGGGUACACUUAUUUUUCCUACAUAGUUUAAAGUACUUGUUUAAAUGUAUAUUUGGUUUUGAUAACCAUAUGUGUAUUUAACUAUUAUUAUAGUUAUUAAUUGUCUACUUGUUAAUGUGAACAUUUGAGCAUACCCACUAGGUUCAAGAUCAUUCUUAGUUUUAAUUUCAUUAAUUUCUUUUCAGUGUUUUCCUCAAAAGUUUGCUCGUUCAGUUCCACACCUAACUGAUCGGGAGAUUUAUUUGGAGGACUCAUGUGGACGACGAUGGAUGGCAAUAAUGUGCAACUAUAAUGGUUCACUUGCUAUUAGAUAGGGAUGGACCAAAUUUUCAGCUGAGCAUGAUGUGAAAGUGGGUGAAUUUUUGGUUUUCCAUUUUGCUCCGGAUGAUCAACACUAUAUUGUUCAAAUAUUCAGAACAAGUGGUUGUGAAAAGAUCAAUUUUGAUAAUUACAUUUGCAAAGGAAAAUAAAAUGAAAGGACUUAUCAGGAAACGACUACAUAUAGAUGAGUUUUUCCUGAUAAGUCCUUUCAUUUUGAUAGUUUUUUCCUGUUAAGUCCUUUAAUUUUGUUUUCCUUUGCAAAUGUAACUAUCAAAAUUGAUCUUUUCACAACCACUUAUUCUGAAUAUUUGAACAAUGAAGUGCUGAUCAUUCGGAACAUAAUGGAAAACAAAAAAUUCACCCACUUUCACAUCAUGCUCAGCUGAAAAUUUUGCCCAUCCCUGUUGGAUAGCAAGUGAACCAUUAUAGUUGCACACUGUUGCCAUCCAUCGCCGUCCACAUGAGUCCUCCAAAUAAAUCUCCCGAUCAGUUAGGUGUGAAACUGAACGAGCAAACUUUGGAGGAAAACACUGAAACGAAAUUAAUGAAAUUAAAACUAAGAAUAAUCUUGAACCUAGUGGGUAUGCUCAAAUGUUCACAUUAACAAGUAGACAAUUAAUAACUAUAAUAAUAGCUAAUUACACAUGGUUAUCAAAACCAAAUAUACAUUUAAACAAGUACUUUAAACUAUGUAGAAAAAAUAAGUGUACACAAAGAAUCACACUUUACCAGAACUUCUAGGAAAGUUUCUACAAUAAUUAAUUUAAAGAAAGAAAGAACUUUCUUUCCAUUAAUCAAUAAGCGGUCCUUCUUGCACUCAUCAUAGUAUGCUUCCAUCUUCUCACUGUGCAGAAUUUUUUUCCCCAACAACUUCUAAUUCCUAGAAAGGAUAUGAAAGUAUUAAUAAGAAAUUGAAGUUAAAAAAAAUAAUACUAAUAAAAACAACAGAUUAAAUAGGUGACCAAAGCAUAUUAAGAUGUCAAAAAUAAAUGCAGCUACGGUGGGGGUGGGGUGGGGUGGGGGGUCACAAUACCAUACAACAAUAACUUAUAUUAAGGCUAAUCUUCAAGGAAUCACCAAAAAAAGAAAAGUUUGUGUAGUUCUCCUUUCUUCGAUUAUUGAAAAAUUGCGUGUUAUCAAACAUGAUCUACAUUUAUCAAUCAAAUAAGAAACAAUAAAUGUUAUCAAUCGAAUCGAUGUGUUGAUGCAACCAUGAUCCAUUCAUGUUUCAACACUCAAAGAAGUUAUUAACAAUAAUUUAUUUUUACAGAACCCUAUUUUUUCAACUCAUGGCUAUUAACAGUUGAGAGCUAGAAUAAACACAAAUUUGACAAAGAGAGAUAAUCUGGAGAAAGGGAUCAUAUAUUUUCAUUCAAUAAAAGCUUACUACAUAUAGAUGAGUUUUUGGCCAAAAAAAUCCCUUAACUAUAGCCAAAACUUAAUAUAUAUCCUUCAACUAUCAAAUUGAACAAAAAUCAUCCUUAAUAUAUUUUAACCAUAGCAAAUUUCAUCCUUAAAUGAAACUCUGUUAAGAAAACUAACAGACCCCUCCCAUGGUAUCUUUUUACAAUGCAAUCCAAAGAUUCUUCCAUUCAUUUUUUUGUUCUUGAAUUUCUUAUGCUUUUUGAUAUGAGAUUGUUAAAGUUUACCAUCAAAAUACUCUUUUAAGACUAUUUUCUUUUCUUGUAUGUGACAUGACAUGCUCUUACGAUUCCCUCUGUCAAUAUUCACAAUACCCAACAAAAAUUUCUUGCUGAAUUAUUGUUGAAGACUUUUGAUCAACAUAUUGUAUUGUCAUUUCUUAUUUCUUUCCACACAACGUCACUUAUAAUUUUCCAAUUAUGAUACAAAUUCCGGCAUACGCUUUCCCCUAUCUUUAAUUAGUCUAGGGCCUCUAUUUUUUCUUCCUAAAAUCAAUACCCAAAUCAAAUAUAAUCACAGCUCAACCACUACACAGAAGAAGAAUCAACCUAGCUUUGUUGUUUUUUCUCUUUCUUUUAUCGUUCAUAUUCACCGAACAAAAUUGACACAUUCAAAAGCGAACUCAUAAUAGCUUAGGUGUUUGGUCAAGAAUAUUUUAUAUUUUUUCCGGAGUUUAACAUUCAAAUACGUUCAUAAAAUUUCAGAAUUUUUAAAAUUUUAAAAACAAUUAAAAAGUAUUUUCAUUCUAAAUUAUUCACCAAAAAAAGAAAAAAUAACUUCAAUUUGUAUUAAUACCAAACACAUUUUUGAAAAUUAUUUUUCACUUUGAAAACAAAACUACUUUUUAAAACUUCACAAUAAAAUAUGGUCAAACACCUAAUAAUAGGCCUGCUACUGGAUUGAGGGACUUAAUUUUUGAUGUGUUAGAGUCAUGUGGCUUGCACAAGAUGUGCGGUCCAAUUAAGUUUGUAAACAAAAGUUUCACAGAAGGAUGAAACUUGCCAAGUUUUGAAUAUAUGAAGGAUGAUUUUUGUUCAAUAGGUUAGUUGAAGGAUGUACUUAACUUUUAGGUAUAGUUAAAGGAUGUUUUUGGCCAAAAACUCACAUAUAGAUACAUACAAUGGUGUCAAAUCCCUUAAAUCUUGAAAUUUGACUCCAUGUUUUGUGCUUAUAUCAAGCUCCACCACAUCUUACAAUAUCUUCUACAUUCCAGAACUUUGUAUUAAAAUUAAUUCAGAGUUAUAACAAAAAUAUCCGGACAAAAGUACUAACAUGACAACACUUAGCAUCACAUACAAAAACAACACCCUUCAUCACUUCUCCUUGAUGCAAGUGCUGCUGGAUACUCCAAGCUAGCUCUAACAAGCUCAAAUCGUUGUUUUUGCAACAAUUUUGUAAAUAGUUGAUCUUCACCACAACAAUGCAAAAUAUGAACUUCAUUUUCCCUUUUAGCUUCUUGAAUAGAAUGGUAUUUUAUUUUAAUGUGUUUAGUCUUUCCAUGAAAGACUGGAUUCUUUACCAUGGCAACAACAAAUUUGUUAUCAUAAAGGACUUCAGUUGCUUUGCUUGGAUGAAACCCCUAGUCAAUCAAGAUUUUUCUCAACCAUAAAGCUUGAUUAACAACACUGGAGACAACAACGUACUCCGCUUCAGCUAUUGAUUGAGCCACAAAACCUUGCUUCUUUGUGCACUAGAAAAUGACACCUGAUCCGAGAGUGAAACAAUAUCCUAAAGUACUUUUCACAUUGUCUUGCGACACAGCCCAGUCACUAUAGGUAAACCCCAACAAUUUCAUAGAUGUGGUUCUUUUAUAAAACACAACAUAAUUAAUGUUCCUCGAAUGUACCUCAAAAUUCUUUUGGCUGCUCUAAGGUGAGUUUCAGUUGGUAAAUGUAUAAACCUUGAUAGCACACUUGUUGCAUACAUAAUAUCAGGCCUCAUGGCUGAUAAAUACAACAAGGAACCAAUCAAACUUCUAUAAAUCGAAGUAUCGACCAAACCACACUCAUCCUCCUUCAUCAGUUUCUCUCCUUGAACUGUAGGCGUACUUACUGGUUUGCAUUUUGAAGUCUAAUAAACAAAUGCAAACCCCAAAUCAUCAUUUGAAGUCUAAUAUACAAGGUUGCUUCAUUACAACUUCUCUUAAACACCAAAUUCAGUAAGUAGCUAUCGAUCCAUGCAUACCAGGACCUAGAUGUCUGUUUCAAGCCAUAAAGAGCUUUUCUUAACAAAUAUAUCUGGUCUCCAACUCAUCUAAAACCUUCAGGCUUCUCUACAUAAAUUUUCUUUUCAAGACACCCAUUAAGGAAGGCAGACUUAACAUCCAAUUGAAAUACUUGCCACCUUUGGUGUGCUGCAACUGCAAGUAGCAAUCUGAUGGUAUCAAAUCUUGCAACUGGUUCAAAGGUUUCAUGAAAAUUAAUUCCAUGCUGUUGCAUGUACCCCUUUACAAUCAGCCUUGCUUUGUACUUGUUGAGUGUGCCAUCUGAAUUCAACUUAAUCUUGAAAUCCAUUUAGUUCCAAGAGCCUGCUUGUCAGGAGGUCUAGGUACAAGUACCCAUGUAUUAUUCUUGUUAAUCAUAUUGAGCUCCUCCUCCAUGGCAAUCCUCCAUUCAAGAAUUUACAAUGCAUUGUCUACACUUGUUUGCUCCAACAUAGCGACACUGCAUCUAUUAUAUAUAUCUUCAAUGGAUCUGGUAUCUCUUACUACAAAAUCAUUAGAAUCCUGAUUCAAGUAGGUGUAGUAGCAGAAGCAACUGACUUUAAUUUACAACUUACAUGGAAAUCAAAUAUUAGCUAUUGCGAUUUAUGCUAAAUGCUCUAAUAUUGAGAGACAAAGUCUAUCGGGAGAUUUGUCCUCAAUCAGUCAACAAUUCAAUAUGCCUUAAAUGAUGGGAGGUGACUUUAAUGUGAUCCUUGGAGAUGAAGAAAAACUUGGUGGAAUGUCUGUUUAUCCACAUGAAUAUGAGGAUUUUGCAUUAUGUCUUAACUCAUGUGAUUUGUCUGAUGUUUAUUUCUCAUGAAAUCCUUUUACUUGGUGGAAUGACAGAGUUGAUAAGGCAUGUAUUUUCAAGAGAUUAGAUAGGGUUGUAGCUAAUGAUUCAUUAUUGGAGAUUUAUGGCAACACUGAACUACAACACCUAGCUAGGACAUGUUUGAUGAUGCCCCCUUACUCCUUACGUGUGGGGGGUGGGAAAUACUCCUAUUGCAAAACCUUUCAAGUUCUUGAAUUUUUGAACUGAAAGAGAAAACCAAAUAAUAUUUUCAUUCAGCUGAAGUAGAAACAAAAAAGGAUCAAUAAGGCUUUGACCUUAUGGAGUGGAGAGAAAAUUGGAGAUAUCGCAAUUGACUAUUAGAGAAGAGACUGUGAUGAUUAAAGAGAGAUUAUUUCAAGAGAUCCUUCACUAGAUAACACAUCAAUAUUGCAAAGAGCACAUGCAGAGUUAAAACUUUAUCUUCAUUAUGAAAAAGAGUUUUGGAGGCAAACGGCUAGUGUACAAUGGUUUGAAGAAGGAGACAUAAAUACUAGAUUUUCCAUGGCCUUGUUAGGGGAAGAAGGAAAAGACUUACAUUGAAGAGUUCUCAAGGAAGAUGACACAUGGACAAAAUCAAAUGAUGUAAUCAUAAGGGAAGGAGUUUACUUUUUUGAAAAGCAAUUCACUAGUGGAGAUAUAGAUGAGCAAAUGUCUCUAUUACAGGGUAUCCAACCACAAAUAUUCCAGGAAGAUAAUGAAUUUCUCAAAGCUCUACCUGAUAUAGAAGAAAUUUAAAAAAUGGUCUUUGAAUCAAAUGCUGAUAAUGCUUGUGGUCCUGAAUGUUUUAUUGGAUGUUUCUAUCAGACAUACUGGGAUAUUGUAGGCCAUGAUAUAUACAGGUUGCGCAUGCCUUUUUCUAGAGUGUCUCUCUACCAAAAUCUAUUACUCACACUAAUUUGGUUCUAAUACCUAAAAAUGAUACUACCCAGCCCUUAUCAGAUCUUAGACCAAUUAGUCUGAGUAACUUCUUAAACAAGAUCAUCUCCAGAUUGAUUCAUGAUAGGAUUGAAGGUUAUCUGCCUAAAUUGAUAUAAGAAAAUCAAUCUAGCUUUGUUAAAGAAAGGAAUAUCACUAAAAAUGUGUUGCUAGCUCAGGAGGUUAUAUCUAAUAUAAGGCUAAGGGGUAGGCCUGAUAAUGUGGUUAUAAAGCUGCACAUGGCAAAAGUAUAUGACAACGUAGUGUAAUUUUUUAUCAAAAUCCUGGAGAAGAUGGGUUUUGAUGCUGAGAUUCUAGACAUGAUUUGUAGACUUAUUGGUAUCCAGUUAUGAUUAAUGGGCAGGCUCAUGGAUUUUUCCAUUCUACAAGAGGGGUCAAGCAAUGAGAUCCUUUAUCACCUGCUCUUUUUAUAUUGUCUACAGAAGUGUACUAGAGCUAUGAAUCACUUAUUUGAGAGAUAUGAUUAUAAAAGCUAUGGAUUGCCUAAAUGGAGUGAUAAAUUGAAUCAUUUGUCUUAAGGAGAUGAUACAAUUAUUUUUGCAGUUAUAGACAAAAAAUUAUUAAAGUUUAUAAUAAAGUUUUGAAAAAAAUAUGAGGAACAAUCAGGACAAUUGAUUAAUAAAGAUAAGAGCUCAUAUUAUGUAUAUAAUAAGGCAAAACAUGUAUCUAGACAAUUGAUGUCACUGGUUUCUCAAGAGGUUAAUUUCCUUUGACAUACAUAGGUUGCUCUAUUGGUCAUGCUAAGAAGAAGAAGGUACAUUUCACAGUAUUAUUAAAGAAAAUUCAAGACAAGUUACAAUUGUGGAAGGGAAAGCUUCUAACUUUUGGGGGUAAAACAGUUUUAUUAAAUAGUGUGCUUAAGAGCAUCCCUAUUUAUCUUUAAUUUGUCCUUAAUCCUCUCCCCCCAAGUGUGUAAUACAUGAUAUUCAUAGAAUGUUUGCUAAAUUUCUGUGGAACUUCAAAGAGGAGGGAAGAUCUACCCACUGGAUAACAUGGAAGGAUAUCUGUGUGCCUAAAAAAGGAGGAUUGGGAUUUAGGUCUUUAUUUGACCUCUCUAUGACUUUAUUUGCUAAGUUAGGAUGGAAAUUUAGGACACCUAAUACACUAUGGUCUAACUAUAUGUGGAAUAAGUAUUGUAAGAGGCAUAUGCCACAAACAGUAGAAUAGAAAGAUGGAUCUCAAAUAUGGAAGAAUAUGUUACUGGCAAGAGAAUUCUUUGAUCAGAAGAUAUGGUGGGAACCAAAGAAUAGACAUGCUAGUGUAUGGUUUGAUAAUUGGACUCAAUUGGGAUCCCUACAUUAUCAUAUGAAUUUGAAUCAUGAUCAGAGUCAGGUGGAAUCUGUUAAUCAGUUGUUUAAUGAGGAUGGAUGGGUUCUAGACAGUCUUACAACAUACUCUUGAUGAGGAAACUUGUAAUCAUAUUACUAGAAUCUUGGUAAGUCUAACCCCUUCACAAGAAAGAGACAAACCUUGGUGGAUGCUCAGUGGGUCUAGAAAAUUUAAGGUUAAAUCAACAUGGGAUUUAUGUAGAAAUAGAUAGGAUCCUAUUGAGAAGAUAUUGAAUAUAUGGGUGAAGGGACUACCUUUUAAAGUGCCAUUCAUGUUAUGGUGAUUGUGGUUUAGGGGAAUUCCUAUUAGGGAAGUUCUUAUUAGAAGAGACAUUACUAACUCUGGGAUAUGUUGUUGUUGUAACCGUAAUGAACAAGUGACAUUUGUACAUUUAUUUAUUGAAUGUACGAACUCAUAUCAUAUUUGGAGGUUGUUCAAUGAGGCUACAUGUCUGCAUUUUCAGGUGGUACAACUCAAACAAACAUUGGAGGAAUGGUGGAAGGCUGACUGUACUACAAAUUAAAAUCAAUAUUUAAAGUAGCUCCUGAUUUUAUAAUAUGGCAACUUUGGAAGAGAAGGAAUGUGAUCAAGCAUGGUCGUAGUAUGGCUAGAUAAAGCAUAAUAUUGGAGAUUCUUAGAAAUGGCUAUUUGUUUACUAGGUACAGAUGCCCAUGGUUAAAGGACAUCCCAAAGAGUUGGACGUUCAUUGUGAAGUUUCUGGAAGGGUAUAUUCGACUGAUUGUGUGAUGGCUACACCCUCCUAGGGGUAAAUUCAAAAGCAAUACUGCCAUGAGCUGUAAAAGAUGAAAUAGGUUCAAUGACUUUUUGUGUAAUAGAUGAAUAUGGGAAGAUGAUAUAUGCUGAAUCAAAGGUGAUGGAGAAUGUCUCAGUUAUUGAAGUGGAAAUAAAAGCCAUUAGAAUAGGUAUAGACUACUAUGUUGAACACAACCUAAUACCCCUGAUCAUUGAAACAAAUUCAUUAAUGGCUUAGAAAAUACUAUGUGGAAGUUAGGAGGCCCCUUGGUUAAUAUCUCCGGAUGUAGGCUACAUUAAGGGACUAAUGAUAGAAAUAAAAGUGAAAGUGAUGCAUUCAUAUCGAGAAGGAAAUUCAGUAGCGGAUUUUUCUGCUAACAUUGCUUUUGAUUUUUCAGGUACAAGCAGGAAACAAUUCUAUAACAUAAGUGAAGCACCUUAACAGGUACAAACAAUCAUUCAACUGGAAAUAAACAACAUGUCAAAUUUGAUAAUAAGGAGAAUACAUAACACAUAUUACAUGAUGCUAUGAUAUUGAGCAAACAACACUUUAGAGUACAGAUGAUAUACUUCAACCAGUACAAACAAUCAUUCAAUUGGAAAUAGGCAAUAGGCAAAAUCUGUGAAUUAGGAGAAUAUAGAACACACGUUACAAGAUGCUAUGACAUUGAGCAAGCAACACUUGAGAGUACAAAUGAUUUGCUUCAAUCGGUAAGCUACCUAAUAAUUUCAGCUGGAAUUUCAUCUUUUUAAACAGCGGUAUUAACCCUUUUGGGGUUAAAUCUAUUGAGAAGAUAAAAUUAAAGUUGAAAAAUAAGGUAAAAGGCGCAGUAGGUCAUCAUGUUUUUUCAAAUCAGUGGCUAUCUCAUUUCAUUCCUUUUGGGGGCGAAGUUCACAAUCACAUACCUUCCAUUCCAGCAAAGAUCUACCUCAUUCAUGUUGAAGAAGUCUUCAUUGAUAACGAAUCAUAACGCCAGUGAGAUUUUUGGUGUUCAAGUGAUUACAAGCCGGACAUGAUAUUGUUUGUAGAAGAUGAAGGUUAGACGGGUAUGGUAGUGUCGAGGAAGCCAUGGAUACAGAGCUUCAGCGCGGCUAUUCAAAGAUGAGGACUUGAAAUGGGGUUUUGGAAACCUCCUGAAGCUCUUG
RNAcentral lists this long non-coding RNA (9248 nucleotides) under Solanum tuberosum (potato). RNAcentral's name for it is "long non-coding RNA (STUB_LNC011508)". The record is from RNAcentral. Lineage: Eukaryota; Viridiplantae; Streptophyta; Magnoliopsida; Solanales; Solanaceae.